UGGGGGCCAAGGCCUGGCACACUCCAUCCCCGCCCACAAGGAGAACAGCAAGGUGAGGUCCCUGAAAGGUAACUGUUUAGAACACAGCAUGGCCAUGACCUUGGUGGAGGGAUGUGCAGAGGCAGGGGCACAGGUCUGGGCAGCAGAGGCAGGGAUCACUCUGGAGGGAGCACGUGGCAAGGAGUUUCUAAGUUUAACUGGACACUCUGGCUCCCUUUGGCCUGAGGCAUGAAGGGUGAAGAGAAUAGUCCAGGCAGACAUUCAGGGGGGUGAGGAGAGAGGAAAUGAGUGUGUGCAUGCGUGCAUGGGUGUGUGGAUGACAGGGUGGGAAGUAUUCCAGACAUGGCAGCCAGGAGGUACAAAGGAGCUGGUUAACCCCGGGAAUUUCCAGUAGUGCGGCGUUAUGGACCCUGAAUGUGAACGUACCCUUAAGAGGGGGACAGUAGGUGGGCCUGGUUGUGAUGACUCCCCAGGAUGAGAAGGUACAGCUGGUCUGUUAGUAUGCAUUGAGUGAGGAAAGACUUUGUACAGGGGAGUGCUCUGGUCACUGGGUUGAGGGUACUAGAAGGUGAAUCCCUGACCAGAAAACCAGAGUGUGGGGCUGGUGUAGUUCCCAGGCCAUGGGCCAGGCCCCUGGGGGUAGGUGGGGUCUUCGGUCUGUUCCUCACUCUCUUGAGGCCUGAGGAGAGUGGGAAGUACAGAGGAGAGUGAGAAGCCACACAGGUGCCUGAAGGCCAGUGUCUAGAGUGAGGUGGACUUAUCCUCAGCCUCAUUCUUCAUGGUGGGGAGACUCCUAG
This 797-nucleotide long non-coding RNA is filed under the name Marmota monax (woodchuck). Lineage: Eukaryota; Metazoa; Chordata; Mammalia; Rodentia; Sciuridae. The record is from RNAcentral.